Molecule: ribosomal RNA, 497 nt
Filed under: uncultured bacterium
Lineage: Bacteria
Description: partial 16S ribosomal RNA
Rfam family: Bacterial small subunit ribosomal RNA
Source: RNAcentral
GAUGAACGCUGGCGGCGUGCCUAAUACAUGCCAGUCGAGCGAACAGACGAGGAGCUUGCUCCUCUGAUGUUAGCGGCGGACGGGUGAGUAACACGUGGAUAACCUACCUAUAAGACUGGGAUAACUUCGGGAAACCGGAGCUAAUACCGGAUAACAUGUUGAACCGCAUGGUUCAACAGUGAAAGACGGUCUUGCUGUCACUUAUAGAUGGAUCCGCGCCGCAUUAGCUAGUUGGUAAGGUAACGGCUUACCAAGGCAACGAUGCGUAGCCGACCUGAGAGGGUGAUCCGCCAACCUGGAACUGAGACACGGGCCAGACUCCCACGGGAGGCAGCAGUAGGGAAUCUUCCGCAAUGGGCGAAAGCCUGACGGAGCAACGCCGCGUGAGUGAAGAAGGUCUUCGGAUCGUAAAACUCUGUUAUUAGGGAAGAACAAAUGUGUAAGUAACUAUGCACGUCUUGACGGUACCUAAUCAGAAAGCCACGGCUAACUACGUG